Molecule: ribosomal RNA, 841 nt
Filed under: Triticum aestivum (bread wheat)
Lineage: Eukaryota; Viridiplantae; Streptophyta; Magnoliopsida; Poales; Poaceae
Description: partial small subunit ribosomal RNA
Source: RNAcentral
GGUGUUUAGUAAAGUGUAUUUAAACAAAGUGUUGAACGUUGUGGUGUUAGUUUAUAUAAUGUCCCUUCAUUAAUGUAUAUAAAGUCUCUUAUUAAAGUAUAUAAUGUGUCUUUACUCAAAGUGUUGAACGUGGUUGUUUAACUUUGUAUUUAAAGUAUCUAGAACGUGUCUAGUUGGUGUGUGUCCAUGUAUCUAUAGUCGUUUUACUCAAAGUCGUUUAUAGUAAACGUGUCUAUACGUGUUAGACAUCCCUAAAUAGACACACUCCUGUAGUUCAUCAAUAAAUAUGAUUGAUGAUGCUCGUUCUUGACUGAUUCUCCUAUCGUUAAUGCUUUAAAAUGACUAGAAGCAGGAGGAACGGUCUAGGGUCUCCUCACCACCGUCUCCGCGAGGAGUUGUGACCGGCAGCUGUAGCACGCCUAGACCUGCUGCUGCAGCUCACCUAGACCAGCUACGUCCCAUGCUCGCGACUGGCCCGAUCUACCCCUGCUUGGACAGAGCGACCUAGAGUAACCUCGUACUCCCGAAAACAUGAACAUGCGCACCACCAGCGGUACCGGCCGCGGCCGGCCCCUUCCUCCUAGGUCGCCGCCCCACCGACCAGCCGCGGCAGCGGGUACUGCCGCAGGCUGUCGCUGCAGGUCUGCCGCCCCGGCCGGCGCCCGAGCCCCCGGCAGGUCCACUCUUCGACCCGCGCUUCUCCUUGCCGCGGCCGCCGGCACUCCCUUUCCUGCUCGCACCGCCGCGGCCGGUACCCACUCUCCUCCGCUCGGUCACACGCCCUAGCUCUCCUAUACCCUAGCUCUGCACCCAAGGUAAAACAUAACGUAGACAUAUCCAG